This 557-nucleotide long non-coding RNA is filed under the name Populus trichocarpa (black cottonwood). RNAcentral describes it as "long non-coding RNA (PTRI_LNC000323)". Lineage: Eukaryota; Viridiplantae; Streptophyta; Magnoliopsida; Malpighiales; Salicaceae. The record is from RNAcentral.
UCACUUGGAGCAAAGAUGGUCAAGCCAUUGUUUGUGUUGCCAAGCUGGGAGUUUAGAUUGCUAUCCAAUUGAGUGGAUUUCAAAAGGCGGAUGAAGGUCUUGAAGUGGCCAGCCUUUUUGAGUAUUUUGAUGACAUUAGUGGGGCCGGGUGGUGCAGGAGCGGGCGCAGGUGAUUGAGCUGUGGUUGUGGUUAAAUUGAUGGAGAGAAUAAGCAGAUAUAAUGAGAUCAAGAGGUGUUGUAAUCGUUCCAUCUUUUCAAUAUUGUUUCCAAGUAGUGGUGACCUGUUUUGUUUGCAAAAUGUAAAUGCGGGAGUGCUGCUCUGCACAAGUGUUAGAUUUACAAAGAGAGGCCUUUUAUAAUGGAGAGGACCGAGGAGAAAACGAAGUUAGGUGUAACCUGCAAUGUGAUAUUAGUAACAAAAAUUAGGUGUUUGGUGCCUCACCUUUCACGAAAAAGGGAAAAAGAAAAUCAAUGGAGAGGGAUAUAACAGCUACUUGUUUGCUUAGAGUUGAAGGGAAAUAGGGUUUUGUCAAAUCUAUAAAAGAGUAUUUGUAAG